AGGGCCCCCUUAGAGUGAGCCUCGNACUCAGCUAACACAGAGUAGCAUUGCUCUCGGAGUAGACGAGCGGCGGACGGGUGAGUAAUGUCUGGGAAACUGCCUGAUGGAGGGGGAUAACUACUGGAAACGGUAGCUAAUACCGCAUAACGUCGCAAGACCAAAGUGGGGGACCUUCGGGCCUCAUGCCAUCAGAUGUGCCCAGAUGGGAUUAGCUAGUAGGUGGGGUAACGGCUCACCUAGGCGACGAUCCCUAGCUGGUCUGAGAGGAUGACCAGCCACACUGGAACUGAGACACGGUCCAGACUCCUACGGGAGGAAGGCGGUGAGGUUAAUAACCUCAUCGAUUGACGUUACCCGCAGAAGAAGCACCGGCUAACUCCGUGCCAGCAGCCCCGGUAAUACGGAGGGUGCAAGCGUUAAUCGGAAUUACUGGGCGUAAAGCGCACGCAGGCGGUCUGUCAAGUCGGAUGUGAAAUCCCCGGGCUCAACCUGGGAACUGCAUUCGAAACUGGCAGGCUAGAGUCUUGUAGAGGGGGGUAGAAUUCCAGGUGUAGCGGUGAAAUGCGUAGAGAUCUGGAGGAAUACCGGUGGCGAAGGCGGCCCCCUGGACAAAGACUGACGCUCAGGUGCGAAAGCGUGGGGAGCAAACAGGAUUAGAUACCCUGGUAGUCCACGCUGUAAACGAUGUCGAUUUGGAGGUUGUGCCCUUGAGGCGUGGCUUCCGGAGCUAACGCGUUAAAUCGACCGCCUGGGGAGUACGGCCGCAAGGUUAAAACUCAAAUGAAUUGACGGGGGCCCGCACAAGCGGUGGAGCAUGUGGUUUAAUUCGAUGCAACGCGAAGAACCUUACCUGGUCUUGACAUCCAUGGGGAUGACGUCAAGUCAUCAUGGCCCUUACGACCAGGGCUACACACGUGCUACAAUGGCAUAUACAAAGAGAAGCGACCUCGCGAGAGCAAGCGGACCUCAUAAAGUAUGUCGUAGUCCGGAUUGGAGUCUGCAACUCGACUCCAUGAAGUCGGAAUCGCUAGUAAUCGUAGAUCAGAAUGCUACGGUGAAUACGUUCCCGGGCCUUGUACACACCGCCCGUCACACCAUGGGAGUGGGUUGCAAAAGAAGUAGGUAGCUUAACCCUCCGGAGGGCGUNUACCCACCCUUCUUGAAUGCUGGGGCCGGGUCACCCCUUUAAGGAGUUCCCU
RNAcentral lists this ribosomal RNA (1199 nucleotides) under Klebsiella variicola. Its description in RNAcentral is "bacterial SSU rRNA". It matches the Rfam family "Bacterial small subunit ribosomal RNA". The record is from RNAcentral. Lineage: Bacteria; Pseudomonadati; Pseudomonadota; Gammaproteobacteria; Enterobacterales; Enterobacteriaceae.